UGCUCUCGAGAACAUAAACAUGGAGAGACUUUAGAAUUCAGAAUGUUUCACGCUUCCCUCUGGAACCACAAAUGUGGUAAACACACUCCUCUACGUCAUGAAACUCUCUGUGGAACCGACACCCUCCAGCCUUCACUGAAACCUGCCUCUCUGCUGUGGGUGAGAUGAGAGUCCCUUGCAGCCAGCUCCAACAGAGGCUGCUCAUCCUGCCAGACUCAGAGCCAAAAGACUUCUCUGCAGUUGAGCAAGAUAGCCUUCCUGCAUGUGGACAUAAGGUAUUUCAUUUGGUGCUUGAGAGCCAGUGCAAGUGGACUCCAUGCCCCUGAGUGCGAUGUCCCACCCGAGAUGCCCACUAACAGUGUCCAGCUGAGGGCCGCCAACACACACAGUCACCCCGAGACAAACCAGUCUCAGUUGGGAGCACUCCUGAUAAACUCCUGUCUGUGGUUUGAAUAUCACAGAGAAUCACAACAGAAACAGGCUUUCUCAUUAAUGCAACAGACUUUAUGUUUCCUGUUUUAUUUUUCUACAUUCUUAUGAUCGUCAAAGAGACGAGUCCCCACCUUCCACCAGCU
This is a long non-coding RNA of Hippopotamus amphibius kiboko, 575 nucleotides long. RefSeq lists it as uncharacterized. NCBI's taxonomy places the organism in Eukaryota, Metazoa, Chordata, Mammalia, Artiodactyla, Hippopotamidae. The record is from RefSeq and is a predicted model, not a curated record. The transcript is spliced from 3 exons.